Molecule: ribosomal RNA, 468 nt
Filed under: uncultured bacterium
Lineage: Bacteria
Description: partial 16S ribosomal RNA
Rfam family: Bacterial small subunit ribosomal RNA
Source: RNAcentral
GACGAACGCUGGCGGCGUGCUUAACACAUGCAAGUCGAACGGAAAGGCCCUGCUUUUGUGGGGUGCUCGAGUGGCGAACGGGUGAGUAACACGUGAGUAACCUGCCCUUGACUUUGGGAUAACUUCAGGAAACUGGGGCUAAUACCGGAUAGGAGCUCCUGCUGCAUGGUGGGGGUUGGAAAGUUUCGGCGGUUGGGGAUGGACUCGCGGCUUAUCAGCUUGUUGGUGGGGUAGUGGCUUACCCAGGCUUUGACGGGUAGCCGGCCUGAGAGGGUGACCGGCCACAUUGGGACUGAGAUACGGACCAGACUCCUACGGGAGGCAGCAGUGGGGAAUAUUGCACAGUGGGCGGAAGCCUGAUGCAGCAACGCCGCGUGCGGGAUGACGGCCUUCGGGUUGUAAACCGCUUUCGCCUGUGACGAAGCGUGAGUGACGGUAAUGGGUAAAGAAGCACCGGCUAACUACGUG